UUCUCUUUAAGGACCAUUUGUGCUAUCUCAAACGCAUUGGUUAAUCGUUCUCUUCGCACUUUCUCAGGCUGUGAAACAAUUGUACGAAGCUUUGGAUAAAUGUGAGGAGAUACUUAGCAAGCAACGAUACCUGUGCGGGAACACAUUGUCUGAAGCAGAUAUUCGGUUGUUUGUCACUCUUAUAAGAUUCGACGAGGUACUGUUUUUUUUACUCCUCAAGCAAGAUUUGUUUUUUGUCAGAAAAUUCCGCCAAUUUAAUGGUUUUCGAUCUAUAAUAUGAAGAGAACCAAGAACCAUGCUAGUUUUUUUUUAUCAUUGAUGACAGGUUUACGUAGUCCACUUCAAGUGCAACAAGAAAGUACUACGAGAAUACCUGAAUUUGUUCAACUACACCAAAGACAUUUUCCAGGUUCCGGGGAUGAGCAGCACAGUCAACAUGGAUCACAUAAAGCGACACUACUACGGAAGCCAUCCGUCUAUCAACCCAUUCGGAAUAAUUCCUAGCGGGCCAGAUAUCGACUACUCGUCUCCUCACGACAGAAACAGGUUUUCGACAUAGGUUUUACACACUACCGAUCGCAAAUCGAACGACACAUAAUUUGCGAAUUGAGUUUGUGCGUCUUUGUUGUGUCUGUAAAGCUCGUUUAUUAGACCGUCUAUCAUCGUGUGACAUGUUAUGUUGUAAGUCUAUGGCUCAUGUUACUUUUAUGGGCCAAACCUAUUAUAUUAUAUAUCUUUCAAGGCCUUUAUAUGUCAUUUUACAAAUGGAUAAAUUUAUAAUUAAAAAUGCGUGAAAACAUAAGAUACUGGGUUAAGAAUAGCUCUAAUUUAAAAUGAGUUACUCAACUUUGAGAGGGCUCCGACUCAAACUUCAACCUAGAUAAGGCACUACAUAACUUAAACUGCAAUGAAGAGAAACUACGCACAAUCUGAGUCAUCCAAUAAGUUAAAAACUUGCUUAGUUGGAGCCUAAUUAAUGGGUUUUUUUUCCAUGAAAAAUAAAUACGCUGGUCGAAGCCGAAGGAGAAAAGUUAAAUAUUGUAAUAAGAAAAAUUGUUGUUAACCUUCACCAUCAAGUCGUCUUGCAUAUAUGCAAUAUGGAGAUAGCAAAGCGCACAGCCAUCGGGCAUAUUUCUGGUACGUGCAUUGCCUUGUUGAAACAGUUUGAUUAACUUGUCUGAAACUGUCAAGGCUAAAGCAAAGCCAUUAUUGGCCCAGACAAGUUCAUUUUCGAUGACCAGACAAGUUCCUUUUCGAUGACAGAAACAACUAAGUGGGAGUGGGGUAGUCAUCAUAAGUCAUGACUCAUGACGACGCAGCGUCAAUGGGUCUUUGAGUUGGACUGGCAACAGUUUCUUUCAACACAAGUUAAUCCGUGAUUUUAUCCUUUCAUCGUAUAUCGUACGGUCAGAAAUCAUUUUAAAAUUUAAAAUUUAAUAUAAAUAGUACCUAACGAAAACUGACCACACAAUACAUAAUGAAUGGAUAAGAUCACGGGAUCCCUAGGAAAAUGAUCCAGCGAAGAUCCUUCUCCAAUCUUCACAGCAAACUACUGCUGACAUCUAUUCUAUUAAUUUAUAGCUAUAAAAAUACAUGCAUGUACGUAAUAUUAUUGUCUCUGGCAAAUUUGGCCUUGGCUCUUGCAGAUCGCCGACCAUCGGUACAUGUCUGGGCAAAAAGACUCGAAGAAAAUGAAGGUAUAUAGAUUAAUCAUUACUGUCACUUAAUUUAAAGUAGAGUUUCUUCCUGUAAUAAAUUACAUUUCUAGCUAUAUAUAUACAUAAAUUAUAUCUCAGCGGCCUUCCCUCCCCCAAUUACAUAACCCAAUCGAUUUGUUUUUGUUUUUUGCAGCGUAAGAUUGUGAUGAAGGUACCGAUGAAUUGCCGGAAAUGCCAAGCGAAGGCGCUCAAAAUUGCUGCUACAGUAGAUGGUACUUAUGUUUGCUCCGGCAGCCCAUCACUUUCAUUUACUGAUUAUAUUAAUUAUAUGCAGUUUUACUAAAUUAGCUGAAGAACAUCCGGUUUCAUAUGAUAUUAAAUUGUAAAAUUAAUUAACAAUGGCAUGGGAUUGAACAUGGAUACAUGCAAUAUGCAGGUGUGAGUUCUGUGGCGUUGGGAGAGGAAAAAGACAGGGUGGUGGUGACUGGGGAGGGAGUGGACGCCAUUAAGUUGGCCAAGAGCUUACGGAAGAAAUUCAUGGCCGCCGACAUUAUCACCGUCGCAGAAGUCAAGUGAAUAAGUGAUCAUCCGAGAGCCUACCUAGGACGUCCUCUCUCGCUGCAAAUUAAUUAAGCUAGCUGAUGAUGAUCAAUUAAUAUCCAUAUACAUUAUAAAUUACUCGUUAAUUUAAUUAAGUAUUUUAUACAUGUGAGAUGAUACUGAGAUGUAUUUUAUAUGCGAUUGAGAUUCUAUAUAUUAAAUUAACUAUAUAUCAUGAUUGAAAUGUAUUUUAUAUGCGAUUGAGAAUCUGAGAUGUAUUUGGCCGGCGGUGUUACUGAAUUGAACCUUACAAGGGAGAAGAUGAUGAGGAGUGAGUACUAGUUUAUUGUAGAAAGUUGGAAAUUCCCUGCCUUGUCCUUGUUUUUGUGAAUGUGGGGUCUUCUGGUUAAGACUAAAAUAAUGAGAAUUUUAACGAAAAACUUCUGGUACUAUUCACUUUAAUGAAAAAUUAUAUUUUUACACUAAAAAGUCAAUCCUGAUACUAUUCAUUUAUCAUUUAUUUUGUCCUUAUCGUUAAAACUCAAAGUUUUCAAAUCAUUUUCAUUAAUUUUCCCUAAAAUAAUACAUAAUUCAUUUGAUUCAGCAACAUUUAGUCUUCACUUUGUUAAGGAGGCGUUGAAUUCAAAUAUUACGAGCGACAAUUGUUAAUAAGAAGAAUGACUUAACUCGAUACAAGUAACUCAAAACCGAAAUUUCAUAAAAGACAAAAGGUGUUUGGACUGUAACUAAAUUUGAACAAGAAUAUGAUCCACAACCGCAAUUACUUUUGGAUAAACGGCUAAUAAAUAGCUCGUUUGGAUGUACUUUUAAAAUGAUUGAAAACAUUUUUGGUGUAAUUGAUUUUGGGUUCUAAAGGCACUUAAGUGCUUUUUGAAAAAAACAUCGGAUAUGUCAUUCUUGCAUGAAGUACUUAAAAGUAUUUUUUCAAGAUUUACUUAGAUUUUUACUAAGGAUUGAUUGUAAAAACAUUUUCAUUAAAACCGUUUUCAAUCAUUUUAAAAAUACUUUCAAACGAACAAUAAUCUCCAACACGAUCACUAUUCACCUAAACAAGAUGACGUAACUGAUGAUGAUCUUUUCCUCGUUUUCAGACUCUUCCUUUUCUAUUUGUUUAUUGUUACCACUCGGAGUCUGGUUGGUCGGACUCAGAGCUCACCAACAGCACUACAUCACCUCUCUCUCUCUCUCUCUCUCUCUCUUGCUCUCUCUCUCCGAGUCUCGCCCUCAGAUCCCCUUCAAGCCUUCAAGGUAACAAUUUAAUUUAAGUUUUCAUUUAGUUUGCUCUGUUUUCAAUUUUCUCAUUACAAAGCUGCUGAAUUUUCCUCUCAAAAUUUUAAUUUUGUAAUUCUGCUGCUUUUGCAAAUCAUAAUUCCUUUUGCUUCAACUGGAUUAAUUUCUAUUAUCUAAGUUUUAAUUGCUAGUCUGAUGAUUAAUUAUCACUCUUAAGUUGCCUUGUUCUUCUCUUAAUUUGAUGCAUUUGGUGGUUGUGAAUUUUUGAAUAACAGUGCAGUGGAAAACAAUGAAUUGGGUUCGUUGGAGAACUUUUCAAAAACAGUCUGGAGAAUUUUCCAAAAACAGUAGUCCAUUUAGUAAGAAUCUAAAAAAUGUCGAAUCGAUUAUCGGUUAACUACCCAGAAAAAAGGAUUGUUCAUUUAGUUUCAUCCAACUAACUACCCAUUACUCAGAUUUUAGCGAAAAAUUUCAGGAAAACUAAUGAAAAAGACUUGAAAGCUUUGAGUUUUAACGGACAAAAUAAAUAGUAAAGUGAAUAGGAUCAUGAUUGACUUUUUUAGUGUAAAAAUGUGGUUUUUCAUUAAAAUGAACAGUAUCGGAAGCUUUGUGUUAAAGUUCCCAAAAAUUUCGUGUCAGUUGUAAUCAAGGUUUUGAUAUUUCUAGGUGUAUCUGGUUCUAGCUGAAUUGCAGAUAAUGAUGUAAAGUUUCUUUAAACAGAAAUCUUUUCAAUCCAUUCAGGUUUCCUCUGAUUUCGAAUCCAAUCUCGUGGGUUUGUUUGCGUGUGGCUGUAUGAAGCUUCAAUAUUUGCAUUUUCAUCUUAAUAAACACAAGGUUUCUUAGAUGUGCUACUUCAACAAUUGGAUAAAAUCUUAGAUGUGCUAAUUUCUGCAGGUAGUCAUUCUUCAGCACACAAUCAAAUGGCGCGAUCUGCACUAGAUGAGACCUCACUAUCGGGUGCAUUUGUGAGAACUGCUUCUGUAUUUCGUAACUUCAUCUCGCGGGACCCGAAUUCGCAAUUUCCAGCAGAACCUGGAAGAUAUCAUCUGUAUAUAUCAUAUGCUUGCCCUUGGGCUUCCAGGUGCCUUGCGUACUUGAACAUAAAAGGACUUGAUAAAGCCAUCAGCUUUACGGUAUAGUACUGUAUAUUAGAUCGUUACUUACUAGAUUCACUUUCUAAUUGCCAAAUUAAUCUCAUCUGUUUGUUUGAUUGUUUGCUUGUUUUGUGUCACUUAGUCAGUCAAACCGAUAUGGGAAAGGACAAAAGAAAGUGAUGAACAUAUGGGGUGGGUUUUUCCUGCUUCCGAAACAGAGCUAGCGGGAGCUGAACCCGACCCCUUGAAUGGAGCAAAAAGCAUUAGAGAACUUUACGAGCUUGCAAGCACACAGUAUACCGGAAAGUACACGGUUCCAGUAUGUUCACUCAUAUUAAGUGGCCUUUUCAUUUUUCUUUCGUUGACUAUCUGCUACCAAAUGACUGAUCAUUUUACUUUGGUAGGUUCUAUGGGAUAAAAAACUCAAAACAAUUGUUAGUAAUGAGAGCGGGGAGAUUAUUCGCAUGUUCAAUACUGAAUUCAACGAUAUAGCUGAAAACGCAUCUUUGGACUUAUAUCCUCCUCACUUGCAAUCCCAAAUUGAUCAGACAAAUGAAUGGAUAUAUGACAAGAUAAACAACGGUGUCUAUAAAUGCGGGUUUGCGAGGAAGCAAGAGCCUUAUGAUGAGGUAUAUUUUGGAAGCUGUAAUGAGUUUUGACUGUGUAGGUUCUGGAGUUUACGUUCUCUUUAAGGACCAUUUGUGCUAUUUCAAACGCAUUGGUUAAUCGGUCUCUUCGCACUUUCUCAGGCUGUGAAACAAUUGUACGAAGCUUUGGAUAAAUGUGAGGAGAUACUUAGCAAGCAACGAUACCUGUGCGGGAACACAUUGUCUGAAGCAGAUAUUCGGUUGUUUGUCACUCUUAUAAGAUUCGACGAGGUACUGUUUUUUGACUCCUCAAGCAAGAUUUGUUUUUUGUCAGAAAAUUCCGC
This 5474-nucleotide long non-coding RNA is filed under the name Malus domestica (apple). RNAcentral's name for it is "long non-coding RNA (MDOM_LNC009589)". Lineage: Eukaryota; Viridiplantae; Streptophyta; Magnoliopsida; Rosales; Rosaceae. The record is from RNAcentral.